GGAUGGCUCAAGUGGUAGAGCGUAUGCUUAGCAUGCGAAAAGUCCUGGGUUCAAGCCCCAGUACAUCCA
Molecule: transfer RNA, 69 nt
Filed under: Camelus bactrianus (Bactrian camel)
Lineage: Eukaryota; Metazoa; Chordata; Mammalia; Artiodactyla; Camelidae
Also listed under: 2 other names
Rfam family: tRNA
About the family: Transfer RNA (tRNA) molecules are approximately 80 nucleotides in length. Their secondary structure includes four short double-helical elements and three loops (D, anti-codon, and T loops).
Source: Rfam by way of RNAcentral